RNAcentral lists this transfer RNA (72 nucleotides) under Vicugna pacos (alpaca). It matches the Rfam family "tRNA". Rfam says of the family: Transfer RNA (tRNA) molecules are approximately 80 nucleotides in length. Their secondary structure includes four short double-helical elements and three loops (D, anti-codon, and T loops). Lineage: Eukaryota; Metazoa; Chordata; Mammalia; Artiodactyla; Camelidae. The record is from Rfam by way of RNAcentral. RNAcentral also lists the same sequence under 1 other name.
AAGGGUAUAGCUCAAUGGUAGAGCGCAGGCUUAGCAUAUACGGGGUCCUGGGUUCAAUCCCCAGUACCUCCA